Molecule: long non-coding RNA, 653 nt
Organism: Sardina pilchardus (European sardine)
Lineage: Eukaryota; Metazoa; Chordata; Actinopteri; Clupeiformes; Clupeidae
Exons: 3
Source: RefSeq, a predicted model, not a curated record
GAGGGCGCGGGCGAAAUAUGCGCAGGUCAAGGAGCGCCAGGCGACCGCGCACGAUGUGGAGAUUCUCGGCCAGGUCCUGGAACAGCUGGACGACCUGGAGAGAAAUUUCCAGAAAAGGCAGGAGCUGAUGUUGAAUGAGGUGGAGAGCACACUCAACAGGCUGCUCGGGACAGAGAAGUCUGGAGGGCCAGUGGACCUGGAGGAGGAGAAGAGGAGCAAAGAGGACAUGAAUAGCAAACCCAAGAAGAAGGGUCUGAAGAGGUUCUUCAAGUCCCUUUGCUGCCUCAACUAGAGAUCACCAUCACUGUACUACGGGCUGCGGGUACAAGGCCGACUCCUCCAUACCAUGUUGAAGUGUCCCUAGAGUGCUCCCGAUGUGCAGAUUGGCGCCUUACAUGGCAGCCUCUGCCAUCGGUCCCCUAGAGCAAGACACUGAACCCUAAAGGGCUCCGGAUGAGCAGAUUGGCGCUUUACUGUAUAUGGCAGCCUCUGCCGUCAGCCUUUUUGAGCAAGACACUGAACCCUAAAGUGCUCCCGAUGCACAGAUUGGCGCCCUACAUGGCAGCCUCUGCCAUUGGUCUUCUUGAGCAAGCUAAAGUGUUUUGCAAAUGCAGUCCAUUUCACUUCAUUUCAUGUAGUACAGUGUAAUUACU